AUUCCGAAAGGAAUGCUAAUACCGCAUACGCCCUACGGGGCGCAUAUAGCAGGGGAUCUUCGGACCUUGCGCUAAUAGAUGAGCCUAAGUCGGAUUAGCUAGUUGGUGGGGUAAAGGCCUACCAAGGCGACGAUCUGUAGCGGGUCUGAGAGGAUGAUCCGCCACACUGGGACUGAGACACGGCCCAGACUCCUACGGGAGGCAGCAGUGGGGAAUAUUGGACAAUGGGCGGAAGCCUGAUCCAGCCAUGCCGCGUGUGUGAAGAAGGCCUUUUGGUUGUAAAGCACUUUAAGCGAGGAGGAGGCUCUUAAGGUUAAUACCCUUGAUGAGUGGACGUUACUCGCAGAAUAAGCACCGGCUAACUCUGUGCCAGCAGCCGCGGUAAUACAGAGGGUGCGAGCGUUAAUCGGAUUUACUGGGCGUAAAGCGUGCGUAGGCGGCUGAUUAAGUCG
This 452-nucleotide ribosomal RNA is filed under the name Acinetobacter sp. idli_28. RNAcentral describes it as "bacterial SSU rRNA". It matches the Rfam family "Bacterial small subunit ribosomal RNA", at positions 148 to 590 of the family's 1533-position model. The record is from RNAcentral. Lineage: Bacteria; Pseudomonadati; Pseudomonadota; Gammaproteobacteria; Moraxellales; Moraxellaceae.